RNAcentral lists this ribosomal RNA (253 nucleotides) under uncultured bacterium. RNAcentral's name for it is "partial 16S ribosomal RNA". It matches the Rfam family "Bacterial small subunit ribosomal RNA", at positions 524 to 776 of the family's 1533-position model. The record is from RNAcentral.
AACGUAGGAGACAAACGUUAUCCGGAGUUACUGGGCGUAAAGGGCGUGUAGGUGGUUUAGUAAGUCUGGCGUGAAAUUUUUCGGCUUAACUGGGAAAGGUCGUCGGAUACUGCUGAGCUAGAGGACGGUAGAGGCGUGUGGAAUUCCGGGUGUAGUGGUGAAAUGCGUAGAGAUCCGGAGGAACACCAGUGGCGAAGGCGACACGCUGGGCCGUACCUGACACUGAUGCGCGACAGCAUGGGGAGCAAACAGG